CAAUAUUAUCAAAUUUGUCAAAACUCAAAGCGCCAUAGAUAUUAGUAUCUAAAAUUAACCCAAAAAAAGCAAAGCAUUCAAUAAUCUACUGAAAUCUAAUCUUAACUUGAAAGAUUUCUACUGAUUUACAGUAAUAAACAAAACGACUCGCCUGUGAAGCAAUAUAUCAAUUCAAUAUAAAUUAUCCAACCGGAUUUUGCAUUUCAAGAAACUAUAGGCUAAGUGGAACAAAGGUCCUCGAAAAAAAAACAUAAAAUGC
This is a non-coding RNA of Schizosaccharomyces pombe (fission yeast), 259 nucleotides long. The record is from the annotation of a GenBank genome assembly. NCBI's taxonomy places the organism in Eukaryota, Fungi, Ascomycota, Schizosaccharomycetes, Schizosaccharomycetales, Schizosaccharomycetaceae.